RNAcentral lists this ribosomal RNA (274 nucleotides) under uncultured bacterium. RNAcentral's name for it is "partial 16S ribosomal RNA". It matches the Rfam family "Bacterial small subunit ribosomal RNA", at positions 523 to 796 of the family's 1533-position model. The record is from RNAcentral.
CUACAGAGGGUGCGAGCGUUAAUCGGAAUUACUGGGCGUAAAGCGCGCGUAGGCGGCUUAUUAAGUCAGAUGUGAAAUCCCCGGGCUCAACCUGGGAACUGCAUCUGAUACUGGUAAGCUAGAGUUUUGGAGAGGGAAGUAGAAUUUCAGGUGUAGCGGUGAAAUGCAUAGAGAUCUGAAGGAAUACCAGUGGCGAAGGCAACUUCCUGGCCAAAAACUGACGCUGAGGUGCGAAAGCGUGGGUAGCAAACGGGAUUAGAAACCCCAGUAGUCC